This 422-nucleotide ribosomal RNA is filed under the name Fusobacteriota bacterium. Its description in RNAcentral is "Fusobacteria bacterium partial 16S ribosomal RNA". It matches the Rfam family "Bacterial small subunit ribosomal RNA", at positions 355 to 776 of the family's 1533-position model. The record is from RNAcentral. Lineage: Bacteria; Fusobacteriati; Fusobacteriota.
UGGGGGAUUUUGCACAAUGGGCGCUAGCCUGAUGCAGCGACGCCGCGUGAGGGAUGAAGGCCUUCGGGUUGUAAACCUCUUUCGCUGGGUUGAAAGGCCAUGCUUUGGGUGUGGUUGAUUUGAACUGGUAAAGAAGUACCGGCUAACUACGUGCCAGCAGCCGCGGUAAUACGUAGGGUACUAGCGUUGUCCGGAUUUAUUGGGCGUAAAGGGCUUGUAGGUGGUUUGUCGCGUCUGUCGUGAAAUCCUGUGGCUUAACCAUGGGCUUGCGGUGGGUACGGGCAGGCUUGAGUGCGGUAGGGGAGACUGGAAUUCCUGGUGUAGCGGUGGAAUGCGCAGAUAUCAGGAGGAACACCGGUGGCGAAGGCGGGUCUCUGGGCCGUUACUGACACUGAGGAGCGAAAGCGUGGGGAGCGAACAGG